AGUGAACGCUGGCGGUAUGCCUAACACAUGCAAGUCGAACGGCAACACAGUAAGAGCUUGCUCUUACGGGUGGCGAGUGGCGGACGGGUGAGGAAUACAUCGGAAUCUACUUUUUCGUGGGGGAUAACGUAGGGAAACUUACGCUAAUACCGCAUACGACCUACGGGUGAAAGCAGGGGAUCUUCGGACCUUGCGCGAUUGAAUGAGCCGAUGUCGGAUUAGCUAGUUGGCGGGGUAAAGGCCCACCAAGGCGACGAUCCGUAGCUGGUCUGAGAGGAUGAUCAGCCACACUGGAACUGAGACACGGUCCAGACUCCUACGGGAGGCAGCAGUGGGGAAUAUUGGACAAUGGGCGCAAGCCUGAUCCAGCCAUACCGCGUGGGUGAAGAAGGCCUUCGGGUUGUAAAGCCCUUUUGUUGGGAAAGAAAAGCAGCAGGUUAAUACCCCGCUGUUCUGACGGUACCCAAAGAAUAAGCACCGGCUAACUUCGUG
RNAcentral lists this ribosomal RNA (492 nucleotides) under uncultured bacterium. RNAcentral's name for it is "partial 16S ribosomal RNA". It matches the Rfam family "Bacterial small subunit ribosomal RNA", at positions 29 to 507 of the family's 1533-position model. The record is from RNAcentral.